CCCUUCGGGGGAAAGAAUUUCGGUGAGGGAUCGGCCCGCGUUAGAUUAGUUAGUUGGUGGGGUAAUGGCCUACCAAGACUACGAUCUAUAGCUGGUUUGAGAGGAUGAUCAGCAACACUGGGACUGAGACACGGCCCAGACUCCUACGGGAGGCAGCAGUGGGGAAUCUUAGACAAUGGGGGCAACCCUGAUCUAGCGAUGCCGCGUGAGUGAUGAAGGCCUUAGGGUCGUAAAGCUCUUUCGCCUGUGAUGAUAAUGACAGUAGCAGGUAAAGAAACCCCGGCUAACUCCGUGCCAGCAGCCGCGGUAAUACGGAGGGGGUUAGCGUUGUUCGGAAUUACUGGGCGUAAAGCGCACGUAGGCGGAUUAGUCAGUCAGAGGUGAAAUCCCAGGGCUCAACCCUGGAACUGCCUUUGAUACUGCUAGUCUUGAGUUCGAGAGAGGUAAGUGGAAUUCCGAGUGUAGAGGUGAAAUUCGUAGAUAUUCGGAGGAACACCAGUGGCGAAGGCGGCUUACUGGCUCGAUACUGACGCUGAGGUGCGAAAGUGUGGGGAGCAAACAGGAUUAGAUACCCUGGUAGUCCACACCGUAAACGAUGAAAUGCCAGUCGUCCGGGUAGCAUGCUUAUUCGGGGGACACACCUAAACGGGAUUAAGGCAUUCCCGCCCUGAGGGAAGU
RNAcentral lists this ribosomal RNA (678 nucleotides) under Celeribacter sp. RNAcentral describes it as "bacterial SSU rRNA". It matches the Rfam family "Bacterial small subunit ribosomal RNA", at positions 192 to 873 of the family's 1533-position model. Lineage: Bacteria; Pseudomonadati; Pseudomonadota; Alphaproteobacteria; Rhodobacterales; Roseobacteraceae. The record is from RNAcentral.